RNAcentral lists this ribosomal RNA (300 nucleotides) under uncultured soil bacterium. Its description in RNAcentral is "bacterial SSU rRNA". It matches the Rfam family "Bacterial small subunit ribosomal RNA", at positions 26 to 326 of the family's 1533-position model. The record is from RNAcentral.
AGAUUGAACGCUGGCGGCAGGCCUAACACAUGCAAGUCGAGCGGUAGAGAGGUGCUUGCACCUCUUGAGAGCGGCGGACGGGUGAGUAAUGCCUAGGAAUCUGCCUAGUGGUGGGGGAUAACGUUCGGAAACGGACGCUAAUACCGCAUACGUCCUACGGGAGAAAGCGGGGGACCUUCGGGCCUCGCGCCAUUAGAUGAGCCUAGGUCGGAUUAGGCUAGUUGGUGAGGUAAUGGCUCACCAAGGCGACGAUCCGUAACUGGUCUAGAGAGGAUGAUCAGUCACACUGGAACUGAGACA